CUUAAAUACGCGACGGGGU
RNAcentral lists this small nuclear RNA (19 nucleotides) under Arabidopsis thaliana (thale cress). Its description in RNAcentral is "snRNA_01190". Lineage: Eukaryota; Viridiplantae; Streptophyta; Magnoliopsida; Brassicales; Brassicaceae. The record is from RNAcentral.